RNAcentral lists this non-coding RNA (46 nucleotides) under Mytilus galloprovincialis (Mediterranean mussel). It matches the Rfam family "Histone 3' UTR stem-loop". From Rfam's summary of the family: The mRNAs of metazoan histone genes lack a poly-A tail. 3' end processing occurs at a site between a highly conserved stem-loop (modelled by this family) and a purine rich region around 20 nts downstream (the histone downstream element, or HDE). Lineage: Eukaryota; Metazoa; Mollusca; Bivalvia; Mytilida; Mytilidae. The record is from RNAcentral.
AAAACGGUUCUUUUCAGAGCCACACACAUUUUUCAAAAAGAAUCUG